CAUUACUGAGUUUACGCUCUAUAACCCUUUGUGAACAUACCUAUAACUGUUGCUUCGGCGGGUAGGGUCUCCGCGACCCUCCCGGCCUCCCGCCUCCGGGCGGGUCGGCGCCCGCCGGAGGAUAACCAAACUCUGAUUUAACGACGUUUCUUCUGAGUGGUACAAGCAAAUAAUCAAAACUUUUAACAACGGAUCUCUUGGUUCUGGCAUCGAUGAAGAACGCAGCGAAAUGCGAUAAGUAAUGUGAAUUGCAGAAUUCAGUGAAUCAUCGAAUCUUUGAACGCACAUUGCGCCCGCCAGCAUUCUGGCGGGCAUGCCUGUUCGAGCGUCAUUUCAACCCUCAAGCUCUGCUUGGUGUUGGGGCCCUACAGCUGAUGUAGGCCCUCAAAGGUAGUGGCGGACCCUCCCGGAGCCUCCUUUGCGUAGUAACUUUACGUCUCGCACUGGGAUCCGGAGGGACUCUUGCCGUAAAACCCCCCAAUUUUCCAAAGGUUGACCUCGGAUCAGGNUANGGAAUACCCGCUGAACUUAAGCAUAUCAAU
This 542-nucleotide ribosomal RNA is filed under the name Colletotrichum gloeosporioides. RNAcentral's name for it is "eukaryotic LSU rRNA". The stretch from base 178 to 331 matches the Rfam family "5.8S ribosomal RNA". The record is from RNAcentral. Lineage: Eukaryota; Fungi; Ascomycota; Sordariomycetes; Glomerellales; Glomerellaceae.